Molecule: transfer RNA, 73 nt
Filed under: Carbonactinospora thermoautotrophica
Lineage: Bacteria; Bacillati; Actinomycetota; Actinomycetes; Kitasatosporales; Carbonactinosporaceae
Description: Streptomyces thermoautotrophicus tRNA
Rfam family: tRNA
About the family: Transfer RNA (tRNA) molecules are approximately 80 nucleotides in length. Their secondary structure includes four short double-helical elements and three loops (D, anti-codon, and T loops).
Source: Rfam by way of RNAcentral
GUGGGCGUAGCUCAGUUGGCAGAGCACUGGGUUGUGGUCCCAGGUGUCGAGGGUUCAAGUCCCUUCGCUCACC